CAGUCGCGCGGGAAUACGAAGGGUGCAAGCGUUAAUCGGAAUUACUGGGCGUAAAGCGUGCGUAGGCGGUUUGUUAAGUCUGCUGUGAAAUCCCCGGGCUCAACCUGGGAAUGGCAGUGGAUACUGGCAAGCUAGAGUGUGUCAGAGGAUGGUGGAAUUCCCGGUGUGGCGGUGAAAUGCGUAGAGAUCGGGAGGAACAUCAGUGGCGAAGGCGGCCAUCUGGGACAACACUGACGCUGAGGCACGAAAGCGUGGGGAGCAAACAGGAUUAGAUACCCCUGUAGUCCCUGUCUCUUAUACA
RNAcentral lists this ribosomal RNA (301 nucleotides) under uncultured bacterium. RNAcentral's name for it is "partial 16S ribosomal RNA". It matches the Rfam family "Bacterial small subunit ribosomal RNA", at positions 509 to 808 of the family's 1533-position model. The record is from RNAcentral.